This 864-nucleotide ribosomal RNA is filed under the name uncultured archaeon. RNAcentral describes it as "bacterial SSU rRNA". It matches the Rfam family "Archaeal small subunit ribosomal RNA", at positions 39 to 909 of the family's 1478-position model. The record is from RNAcentral.
UGAUACUAAGCCAUGCGAGUCAUUGAAGCAAUACAAGGCAUACGGCUCAGUAACGCGUAGUCAACCUAACCUAUGGACGGGAAUAACCUCGGGAAACUGAGAAUAAUGCCCGAUAGAACAUUAUGCCUGGAAUGGUUUAUGUUCCAAAUGAUUUAUCGCCGUAGGAUGGGACUGCGGCCUAUCAGUUUGUUGGUGAGGUAAUGGCCCACCAAGACUAUUACAGGUACGGGCUCUGAGAGGAGUAGCCCGGAGAUGGGUACUGAGACACGGACCCAGGCCCUAUGGGGCGCAGCAGGCGAGAAAACUUUGCAAUGUGCGAAAGCACGACAAGGUUAAUCCGAGUGGUUUCUGCUAAAGGAACCUUUUGUCAGUCCUAGAAACACUGAUGAAUAAGGGGUGGGCAAGUUCUGGUGUCAGCCGCCGCGGUAAAACCAGCACCUCAAGUGGUCAGGAUGAUUAUUGGGCCUAAAGCAUCCGUAGCCGGCUCUGUAAGUUUUCGGUUAAAUCUGUACGCUCAACGUACAGGCUGCCGGGAAUACUGCAAAGCUAGGGAGUGGGAGAGGUAGACGGUACUCGGUAGGAAGGGGUAAAAUCCUUUGAUCUAUUGAUGACCACCUGUGGCGAAGGCGGUCUACCAGAACACGUCCGACGGUGAGGGAUGAAAGCUGGGGGAGCAAACCGGAUUAGAUACCCGGGUAGUCCCAGCUGUAAACCAUGCAAACUCAGUGAUGCAUUGGCUUGUGGCCAAUGCAGUGCUGCAGGGAAGCCGUUAAGUUUGCCGCCUGGGAAGUACGUACGCAAGUAUGAAACUUAAAGGAAUUGGCGGGGGAGCACCACAAGGGGUGAAGCCUGCGGUUCAAUUGG